UGUUAAAAAUUUUAUCAAAUUGUACUAUUAAAAAUUACUGUGACUAACGAAAUAACCAUAUGGUGAUGUAUGUUGCGAAAUGUGUAUAAGAACCAGUCUUUAAUGGUAGAAAUGGAUAAAAUUUUUAACA
Molecule: non-coding RNA, 130 nt
Organism: Gossypium arboreum
Lineage: Eukaryota; Viridiplantae; Streptophyta; Magnoliopsida; Malvales; Malvaceae
Source: Rfam